UCGGUGACUCCUUACUGCCAUUUGUUGUAGACAAAGCCUUGUACUUGUAAGCAGAUACAACGGAGCAAAGUUCCAUCACUCAUCAUCCAGGGUGCAGAGUGCAGGAUGUCACCCACUCCCUGCCAAAGUCUCAGCCAUUUAACAAUCAGCUGGGCGUUACCGCUCACAAGUCCAUGGGAGUUGGGUGCCUAACUCAUCUUUGUGCGUUCCUUUGAAAAUCUGCCCCUAAAUCUUCACCACAGCUCUUUGAGGUAGCUCACAAGUGGCCUAAAUAUGCAUUCAGAAAAGUUCAUUUCCAGUCUCAUCCCAUCUAUGUGUGCAGAGAAUGCACAGGUAUGGAUAUUUCAGCAGGGCUCGCCUUUCCCUUUCUCUAAUAAACCUGAUUGUUCUACCUCCACUAAGGGAAUAUCUGAUCCUUGCUCUAAGGACCACAGCCAAGAUUUUCAAAGGGGCUAGAGGUUUUGAGUGUCUCAAUUUUUGGGUACCCACUGAGACACCAUAAAGGGGUUUGAUUUCCAGAAAGUGCUGGGCACUCACCCUCUGAAAAUCAGGCCCCUUUAAAGUGUCUCCAGCUGGGUAUCCAAAAUCACUAGUCAUUUUGAAAAUCUUGGUCCAAGUUCCUGAUCUUGAUAGCAGUUCUCAAAGUCUGAGGACCUAGUUCUCCCAUGGCCUGCACCUUAUGCAGUCACUUGCAUCAGUGCAAAGUAAGUGUGAAACACUCAUUCUACAUCUUCUUUCAGCACAAGGUGCAGAACAACAGAGAAUCAGGCCCAGAAUGUCUCUUCUCCUUUGUGAUUCUAGAAUGAUUGGCUGGCAUGCCCUUCAGAGACUGCACACUUUGGGCUAAUUUCAAAGAGCUCAGACAUGGUGACGUAAAUUACACAUUGGCAAAUUGCUAAAUGGAACCUUGCUGGUGUAAUUUGCUCACUAAGGGGAGAUUGACACUGCUGCAAUUGAUGCAGCGGGGAUCGAUUUAGUGGGUCUCGUGAAGACCCGCUAAAUCGACAGCAGAGCGCUCUCCAUUCGACCCUGGUACUCCACCUCUCCGAGAAGAGUAAGGUAAGUUCCCUGGAGAGCAUCUCCUGUCAAUGCAGCGCAGUUAAGACACCAGGGUAAGUCGACCUAGGCUACAUCAACUCCAGCUACGUUAUUCACCUAGUGGAAGUGAAAACAACCCCUAAGAGUAAAAUCCUAGUGCUACUGAAGUCCAGUAGCAAAACUGCCAUUUGUGACACUAUGCCACAUAUUCUUCAUAGAGAUAUUAUUGUGAUAUGAUUAUUGCAUAACUAUGAUGUACUUUUUGCAAGAUAGGUCAUGUGAGAUAUCAUUGAAAAGGUUAUGAUUUACUGAAUAUGAUUAUCCUAUUUGUAUGCAUGUAUCAUUUUGGUAUCUGAAGUUAGGAAUAUUGUCUGUGCAUCUAUUACAAAUGUGUUUACACCUGGGGAACGCCCACUAGGCAGAAUGCAAUCAGUCUAGAUGGCUGCCUGGGUCAGGCCUUUAGGGAGAACAAUGGGUCUUAGAAGAAGCUAAUCUUCCACCGGGGAGCCUUCCUGAGGAUACUGCAAACAGCCUCCGGGUCAUGGCUGCUAUGACCAUAUGGGGAAAUGUGACCAAGUCAUCUGGUACUGGACUCCAUCUUGGAAUACCAGUGUCUUUCCGGACGUGGGAACCAAGCUUGGAGACAAAGGAUUCCCAUCAUAAGCAAAAGCUAUUUAAGGCAGGGGAGUGAUAUCAUCGGGGUUUUUCACUGACUCCCUGCCCAAAGGAGACUCUUGGAAACACCUGAGGAACAAGGACUGAAUUGGUGGAGAAGUGUUGGACCCAGGCUAGAGGGAUUUCUAGCCUGUGAAAGAAAUACCUGGGGUUUUUAAGCUGCAAGCAAGGGCAGCUGGCCCCUUAAAAAUCCCUGCAAGCAGCUUAAAUCAUCAUUUAGGGUGAGAAGUUGCUAUUCAUAUCCAAUCUCUUUAGUAUAUUAAGAUUAGAUUGCAUUUUUGUUUAUUUACUAGGUAAUCUGCUUUGAUCUGUUAGAUUUUAAGUGAUUAUAAGGGAUAGUAAUCUUUUGUAGUUCAUAAACUUAUUUUUGCUUUGUCUAAAACCAGUGUGUGGGAGUCAUAACUGGGGGCAGAAAGCUGUAUAUAUUCCCCUCCACGCUGAGGGAGUGAGUGAAUUUCAUGAGCUUACGCUGUGCAGUUUUCUGUGCAGUGCAAGAUGGUAUAAUUUUGGGUUUACACUCCAGAGGGGGGUGCAUGCCUUAGGAACUGGGAGGUGCCUUAGCCGAUCCUUCCCAUGCAGAGCUGAUCUCAGCAUCUGUGUGUAGCUGCAGCUGGGUAUGUCCCUACCUGUAUGUGUGCUGGAGGGGCUUAAGGGCUUGUCACAGCAGUUCAGUGUAAAGGAAGCCCGGUCAGGUGGCUUAGUGGUACCUCAGUUCCAGGUGGCACCCUGGGGGAACCUGUCACACCACUGACUUCAGGGAGGCCAGGAUUUCACCCUGAGAGCUAAAUUCUAACUUUACAUCUGCUCCUGGCCCUUUAGGCCCAAAAUCUGCACAGGGCGUAUUUAGCAGAAUUUGGCCAGAACUCAUUACAAGGUAGCCAUUAGUGUUUAAGGUGGGGGCACUUCUCAGCUGAAACUUUCCAUACCUUCUUUGCUUUUUUUCUUUCUUUCUGAGGUUACCUUCUCUUCCAGCCUCACAGCUUCUAAAUUACACCAAUUUAGACCCACUUUCCUCAGUAUAAUUAACACCAUUUUACAUCUACUCAGAAUGUUGUCCUUUGUCUUUGUGUAACUGGAACCUAAGGAUUGAUAUAAAAAUAACAAAAAUAUGAACAAGGACACUUGACCCAAGGUCCUUAAUAUAGAUUUCCCAGUAUGAUCCCAUAUCAUGCAAUCCAAAUAGGAUAUGACUGGAUUUAAUUACUGUACUGGAUUGCAUUCCUUUCUACAUGUAAUUAAAAUCAGAUUAAAAUAAGUGCUUUACAUUUGUUUAAAUGAAUUUAAUAAUCAAAUAUUAAUGUUUAUAACCAAAAUAAAGCAACUCCAUUAAAAUGGAGAAAGAUCUUUCAAGCCAAAAGCUUUUGCCUCUGUGUAAUGUUUUUCAAAUAGGUUUCUGUUAACAUCUGAUCUUUAUUUCAUACAACUUUUAUCUUUCAUCACCGAGUCCUUGGAGAAUGUUCUCUGGAGCUUUUCAUAAGACAAAUUGAAGUAGCAAGAGUGUGCAGCAUUGAGUGCAUGAUUUUGCAGGCUGUUCUUCAGGAAUAAAUCCAUCCAGAAUCUUGAUAUUUCAAUCUUCCUGUCCAAAAACAUCAAGCUUUAUCUACAUUGUCUUGUGGGUUUUACUGCAAUUUUAUUACA
Caretta caretta (loggerhead turtle) is the source of this 3351-nucleotide long non-coding RNA. RefSeq lists it as uncharacterized. The record is from RefSeq and is a predicted model, not a curated record. Lineage: Eukaryota; Metazoa; Chordata; Testudines; Cheloniidae.